Molecule: ribosomal RNA, 521 nt
Filed under: uncultured bacterium
Lineage: Bacteria
Description: bacterial SSU rRNA
Rfam family: Archaeal small subunit ribosomal RNA
Source: RNAcentral
AACCUCCGCAAUGUGAGAAAUCGCGACGGGGGGAUCCCAAGUGCCAUUCCUAACGGGAUGGCUUUUCAUUAGUGUAAAGAGCUUUUGGAAUAAGAGCUGGGCAAGACCGGUGCCAGCCGCCGCGGUAACACCGGCAGCUCUAGUGGUAGCUGUUUUUAUUGGGCCUAAAGCGUUCGUAGCCGGUUUGAUAAGUCACUGGUGAAAUCCUGUAGCUUAACUGUGGGAAUUGCUGGUGAUACUGUUGAACUUGAGGUCGGGAGAGGUUAGCGGUACUCCCAGGGUAGAGGUGAAAUUCUGUAAUCCUGGGAGGACCACCUGUGGCGAAGGCGGCUAACUGGAACGAACCUGACGGUGAGGGACGAAAGCUAGGGGCGCGAACCGGAUUAGAUACCCGGGUAGUCCUAGCCGUAAACGAUGCGGACUUGGUGUUGGGAUGGCUUUGAGCCGCUCCGGUGCCGAAGGGAAGCUGUUAAGUCCGCCGCCUGGGAAGUACGGUCGCAAGACUGAAACUUAAAGGAAUU